Molecule: non-coding RNA, 46 nt
Organism: Schistosoma mattheei
Lineage: Eukaryota; Metazoa; Platyhelminthes; Trematoda; Strigeidida; Schistosomatidae
Source: Rfam
GCACUGCCGAGGAGUCCCAUUGUGGGACGAAACGGCCGUCCAGUGC